RNAcentral lists this ribosomal RNA (425 nucleotides) under uncultured bacterium. Its description in RNAcentral is "partial 16S ribosomal RNA". It matches the Rfam family "Bacterial small subunit ribosomal RNA", at positions 354 to 796 of the family's 1533-position model. The record is from RNAcentral.
GUGGGGAAUCUUGCGCAAUGGGCGAAAGCCUGACGCAGCCAUGCCGCGUGAAUGAUGAAGGUCUUAGGAUUGUAAAAUUCUUUCACCGGGGACGAUAAUGACGGUACCCGGAGAAGAAGCUCCGGCUAACUUCGUGCCAGCAGCCGCGGUAAUACGAAGGGGGCUAGCGUUGCUCGGAAUUACUGGGCGUAAAGGGCGCGUAGGCGGACAGCUUAGUCAGAGGUGAAAGCCCAGGGCUCUACCUUGGAAUUGCCUUGGAUACUGGCUGUCUUGAGUUUGGGAGAGGUGAGUGGAACUCCGAGUGUAGAGGUGAAAUUCGUAGAUAUUCGGAAGAACGCCAGUGGCGAUGGCGACUCACUGGCCCAAUACUGACGCUGAGGCGCGAAAGCGUGGGGAGCAAACAGGAUUAGAAACCCGGAUAGUCC